This 261-nucleotide ribosomal RNA is filed under the name Clostridium sporogenes. RNAcentral describes it as "partial 16S ribosomal RNA". It matches the Rfam family "Bacterial small subunit ribosomal RNA", at positions 1282 to 1533 of the family's 1533-position model. The record is from RNAcentral. Lineage: Bacteria; Bacillati; Bacillota; Clostridia; Eubacteriales; Clostridiaceae.
CCUAUCUCAGUUCGGAUUGUAGGCUGCAACUCGCCUACAUGAAGCUGGAGUUGCUAGUAAUCGCGAAUCAGAAUGUCGCGGUGAAUACGUUCCCGGGCCUUGUACACACCGCCCGUCACACCAUGAGAGCUGGUAACACCCGAAGUCCGUGAGGUAACCGUAAGGAGCCAGCGGCCGAAGGUGGGAUUAGUGAUUGGGGUGAAGUCGUAACAAGGUAGCCGUAGGAGAACCUGCGGCUGGAUCACCUCCUUUCUAAGGAGA